This 251-nucleotide ribosomal RNA is filed under the name uncultured bacterium. RNAcentral describes it as "partial 16S ribosomal RNA". It matches the Rfam family "Bacterial small subunit ribosomal RNA", at positions 524 to 773 of the family's 1533-position model. The record is from RNAcentral.
UACGAAGGGUGCAAACGUUGCUCGGAAUUAUUGGGCGUAAAGCGCACGUAGGCGGCUUUGCAAGUCGGAUGUGAAAUCCCUCGGCUUAACCAAGGAAGUGCAUCCGAAACUGCAGAGCUUGAGUACUUAAGAGGAUCGCGGAAUUCCCGGUGUAGAGGUGAAAUUCGUAGAGAUCCGGAGGAACACCAAAGGCGAAGGCAGUGUCCUGGGGAGUACCUGACGGCUCAGGUGCGAAAGCCAGGGGAGCGGAA